UACGAAGGGUGCAAGCGUUGUUCGGAAUUACUGGGCGUAAAGGGCGCGUAGGCGGCUUAUCAAGUCAGGCGUGAAAUUCCCGGGCUCAACCUGGGGGCUGCGCUUGAUACUGAUGAGCUUGAAUGCGGGAGAGGAUAGUGGAAUUCCCAGUGUAGAGGUGAAAUUCGUAGAUAUUGGGAAGAACACCGGUGGCGAAGGCGGCUAUCUGGCCCGUGAUUGACGCUGAGGCGCGAAAGCGUGGGGAGCAAACAGG
Molecule: ribosomal RNA, 253 nt
Filed under: uncultured bacterium
Lineage: Bacteria
Description: partial 16S ribosomal RNA
Rfam family: Bacterial small subunit ribosomal RNA
Source: RNAcentral